AUUGAACGCUGGCGGCAGGCCUAACACAUGCAAGUCGAACGGUAGCACAGAAGAGCUUGCUCUUUGGGUGGCGAGUGGCGGACGGGUGAGUAAUGUCUGGGAAACUGCCCGAUGGGGGGGGAUAACUACUGGAAACGGUAGCUAAUACCGCAUAACGUCGCGAGACCAAAGGGGGGGACCUUCGGGCCUCACACCAUCGGAUGUGCCCAGAUGGGAUUAGCGAGUAGGUGGGGUAAUGGCUCACCUAGGCGACGAUCCCUAGCUGGUCUGAGAGGAUGAACAGCCACACUGGAACUGAGACACGGUCCAGACUCCUACGGGAGGCAGCAGUGGGGAAUAUUGCACAAUGGGCGCAAGCCUGAUGCAGCCAUGCCGCGUGUAUGAAGAAGGCCUUCGGGUUGUAAAGUACUUUCAGCGGGGAGGAAGGCGGUGAGGUUAAUAACCUCGCCGAUUGACGUUACCCGCAGAAGAAGCACCGGCUAACUCCGUGCCAGCAGCCGCCGUAA
This 506-nucleotide ribosomal RNA is filed under the name uncultured bacterium. RNAcentral describes it as "partial 16S ribosomal RNA". It matches the Rfam family "Bacterial small subunit ribosomal RNA", at positions 29 to 523 of the family's 1533-position model. The record is from RNAcentral.